GAUGAACGCUGGCGGCGUGCCUAAUACAUGCAAGUCGAGCGAACAGACGAGGAGCUUGCUCCUCUGACGUUAGCGGCGGACGGGUGAGUAACACGUGGAUAACCUACCUAUAAGACUGGGAUAACUUCGGGAAACCGGAGCUAAUACCGGAUAAUAUAUUGAACCGCAUGGUUCAAUAGUGAAAGACGGUUUUGCUGUCACUUAUAGAUGGAUCCGCGCCGCAUUAGCUAGUUGGUAAGGUAACGGCUUACCAAGGCAACGAUGCGUAGCCGACCUGAGAGGGUGAUCGGCCACACUGGAACUGAGACACGGUCCAGACUCCUACGGGAGGCAGCAGUGGGGAAUCUUCCGCAAUGGGCGAAAGCCUGACGGAGCAACGCCGCGUGAGUGAUGAAGGUCUUCGGAUCGUAAAACUCUGUUGUUAGGAAAGAACAAAUGUGUAAGUAACUAUGCACGUCUUGACGGUACCUAAUCAGAAAGCCACGGCUAACUACGUG
RNAcentral lists this ribosomal RNA (497 nucleotides) under uncultured bacterium. Its description in RNAcentral is "partial 16S ribosomal RNA". It matches the Rfam family "Bacterial small subunit ribosomal RNA", at positions 28 to 507 of the family's 1533-position model. The record is from RNAcentral.